Molecule: long non-coding RNA, 748 nt
Filed under: Gossypium barbadense (sea-island cotton)
Lineage: Eukaryota; Viridiplantae; Streptophyta; Magnoliopsida; Malvales; Malvaceae
Description: long non-coding RNA (GBAR_LNC009635)
Source: RNAcentral
GGGCAGCUGUUAUGGCCCAAUUCAGACCGAGACCCAUAAACAAAACCAAAAUAAACAGUCCAUUUUUGUUUACCAAUCCAGACCCAAAUUUUAAACCAUGGCCCAAAAUACAAAUAGCCCAAUACAAACACUUAAACCCUAGCCCAAACUUUUAAGCCCAAACCAAAAAAAUAUUUUUGGUAGAACCCUAGCAACUAGCCUUGCGCCGUAACCCCCAAUUGCCCUUGCCACACAUGGCUUCCACAUCCACGCCCGCACUACUCGCGCCUCCACGUCAGAGUCCACGCCUACCACGCACCUGCAAACAAGCAAAAUAAGUUGUAAAAUCGGCUAUAAAAGCCUUUGGAAAAUAUUGUAAAAGGUCCCCUUUUUUUUGGAGAAUAGAAACUGAGAAAUCAAAGUAAAACAGAUUUUAAAAAGAAAUCAAGGUGAUUUUACUGUAGUUUUAAAAUUUUGUUUCAUUUUGUUUUAUUUUUCUACCACCUUUUUUUUUCCCUUUUUUAGAUUUUUUUAAUAUAUUAUACGAAAGUAAAGUAUUAAAAAGAGGGAGUUUACCAGACUUUCGGUGGUCACGUAGACGUCGGAGUUUCCUCCGUCGUUGAAAUCGGGCCCAGGAGGAGGUCGGAAUCGCCUUUGUUCUCCGUUUGGGCGUGCGACGUAUAUGGCUGAUAAGGGGAGGGAUUUUGAAAAUUAGGUUUUCUUAAAACAAAAUUGAAAUGAUUUCAAGCAGAUUUUUUUGGACUUAAAA